This 959-nucleotide ribosomal RNA is filed under the name uncultured Flavobacteriaceae bacterium. RNAcentral's name for it is "bacterial SSU rRNA". It matches the Rfam family "Bacterial small subunit ribosomal RNA", at positions 8 to 960 of the family's 1533-position model. Lineage: Bacteria; Pseudomonadati; Bacteroidota; Flavobacteriia; Flavobacteriales; Flavobacteriaceae. The record is from RNAcentral.
AGAGUUUGAUCCUGGCUCAGGAUGAACGCUAGCGGCAGGCCUAACACAUGCAAGUCGAGGGGCAUCACGGAAAAGCUUGCUUUUCUGGUGGCGACCGGCGCACGGGUGCGGAACGCGUAUGGAACCUGCCCCUGUCAGGGGAAUAGCCCAGGGAAACUUGGAUUAAUGCCCCAUGGUACCGUUAUAUCGCAUGAUAUUUCGGUUAAAGAUUUAUCGGACAGGGAUGGCCAUGUGUACCAUUAGUUAGUUGGUGGGGUAACGGCCCACCAAGGCAGCGAUGGUUAGGGGCCCUGAGAGGGGGAUCCCCCACACUGGUACUGAGACACGGACCAGACUCCUACGGGAGGCAGCAGUGAGGAAUAUUGGACAAUGGGCGGGAGCCUGAUCCAGCCAUGCCGCGUGCAGGAUGACGGCCCUAUGGGUUGUAAACUGCUUUUAUACGGGAAGAAACGCACCUACGUGUAGGUGUCUGACGGUACCGUAAGAAUAAGGACCGGCUAACUCCGUGCCAGCAGCCGCGGUAAUACGGAGGGUCCGAGCGUUAUCCGGAAUCAUUGGGUUUAAAGGGUCCGUAGGCGGGCCUGUAAGUCAGGGGUGAAAGUUUGUGGCUCAACCAUAAAAUUGCCUUUGAUACUGCAGGUCUUGAGUCAUGGUGGGGUCGCCGGAACAUGUGGUGUAGCGGUGAAAUGCAUAGAUAUCACAUAGAACACCGAUCGCGAAGGCAGGUGACCAACCAUGUACUGACGCUGAUGGACGAAAGCGUGGGUAGCGAACGGGAUUAGAUACCCCGAUAGUCCACGCCGUAAACGAUGGAUACUAGCUGUGGGGACUUCGGUCUCCGUGGCCAAGCGAAAGUGAUAAGUAUCCCACCUGGGGAGUACGUUCGCAAGAAUGAAACUCAAAGGAAUUGGACGGGGGCCCGCACAAGCGGUGGAGCAUGUGGUUUAAUUCGAUGAUAC